GUUGAGAAUAAUUGUAUGGUAUUGAAAAGGUUCAAGUUUGGGCUUGUUGGGGGAAAUUGAAAGGCAAAAGAAAGGCAUUGAGCUGAAGUGUUGAAUGAAAGAGAAAAAAAAAGUAUGAGAAAAGAAAAAGCAUGAAAGAUGAACUCAAUGUAAAAUUAAAAGAAAAGGGAAGAAGUUGGGAAUGAGUGAAAUUGGUUAAAGAGAGAGUUUGUGCUUGAACUUUGAAUGUUAAAAUAGCUCUCUUAACUCAAGGAUUUUGUGUUCCAAAAAACUCAAUUUUUCUUGUUAGCCCACCCUCAUUAUAAGGCUUAGAAAAAGUCCUUGUGAUGGCAUUUGUAUGUAAGAAUGUUGAUUGUAUUAGAUGAAGGACAAUUUUGUUUCAGGUGACAUGUGAAUAGUAGAGAAUUGGAGUGCCCUCUUAAACACUUGAGUGAUUGAGUGAAACACUUGCUUGAAGAGAAUUGAUAAGUUCUAUGUUUACAUCUAUGCUUAGUUGAUUGAUCAUUCACAAGUAAAACAUCUGUUGGAAAAUAUUUGAUCAUGUGAACUGAAUUG
RNAcentral lists this long non-coding RNA (555 nucleotides) under Vigna radiata. RNAcentral's name for it is "long non-coding RNA (VRAD_LNC000461)". Lineage: Eukaryota; Viridiplantae; Streptophyta; Magnoliopsida; Fabales; Fabaceae. The record is from RNAcentral.